Long non-coding RNA from Papaver somniferum (opium poppy), 1592 nucleotides. RefSeq lists it as uncharacterized. Lineage: Eukaryota; Viridiplantae; Streptophyta; Magnoliopsida; Ranunculales; Papaveraceae. The record is from RefSeq and is a predicted model, not a curated record. The transcript has 4 exons.
UCUCAGUUUCGAUUGUUUCAUCUUAUUCACCGCAUGAGUUGAUGUUGAAUCUAAGAGGGGUUCAUGGUUCUUUGCUUGAAAGAAGUUGUAAUAACCAUCAAUACUAUUGGAGGAGCAGUUAUCGUGGCUUUCUUUUAUAACCCUUUCUUUCGCUAAUAUGAAAUCAAGUUGGAUUGCAUGAAGCCAUCAAAUAUCUUGAUCUCUAAAUUACUUUGGUGAUAUAAUUUGAGAAAUUGGUAAUUGGAAUUCUGAAUUUUCUAGGUUAAAAUCCUCAAAUUGAAAAGUUUGUGUGCUUGUUGUUUGCUUGAGAUUCAGGAGCAAGGUUUAAUCAAAAAUAAGGUGCAUAGAAAAGGAAUUAGAAGGAAAUUUUUUAAUCAAAAAUACGGUGCAGAGGAAAGAAAUUAGAAGGAAAUUUAAGAGGGAAAGUUUAAUUUUUUUGAAGUACCUCUUUGUGUUGAGUUAAUGAUGCCCCGUAUUUAAUUUUGUCUCUUCAUAUUGAUUUCCAAUUGAUGUUAAAUAACUCAGCAGUGGUCGAUGUUUCCAGUAAAUUUAGGAGGGAAAGAUUCGUGAUGCAUAGGAAAGCAUGUGAACAUGUGGAAACCCUACAAGUUUUAAAUCUGUAAAAAAAAUUAUCCACUUUUUGUUUGGCGUAGGCAGAUUGACCCGACUUUUUAUUUUUAUCUUCUUCUUUUUAUCUUCGUUACUCCUUGGUGCUUACUUAUCAGACAUUGCUAGCAAGGUACACCAAUCCUCAUUCUUAUUCUUAAGAAUUUCAAUUGACUGGUAAUAGAAAUUUUUUAUAAUGGUCAUCGUUUGGUUAUGAAUUUUUUUUCGCUUACGUGAAAUCCAUACGAAACAGGAAAAUACCUUUUAUUUACUAAGAUUUAACUGUUUUGUUAGCAUGUGGAUAUAGGUAUGAAUGAAUGAUAUACUGUUUAAUAUCUUUAAUGUCUUGGAGCCACUGCGAUUUUUGGUUCACAUAUAUUGUUGUAUGUAUUUGGAAAUAGGAAUGCCAUAGUAGGAGAUCACUAAUUAUGUGAUGUGUAUUCCCUUGAGCUUUAUUACAAAUAUAAAUUCACCGAAGAUGGAAACAUAUCUAAGAGAAAUAGAACAAUCAGAGAAGGAGAAAUUGGGAAUGCCAUGUGGUAUAUGAAUGAUGAUUUACUUCUCUUGUUGUGGCAGCUUAUAAGAAUUCAUCAAUUGUACUCUGUAUUUUUGAUUGGUUUUUCCUCCAUCGCUUCAUUUAACUAUUUUGUAUACACAAAGCGUUUUGUGGUGAAGGUGAUCUUAGUGACAAUAUAUGUCUUAGGAUUAAAGCUGUCCAUAUGUGUACAGUGCGGCAAGUCAGCGGAAAUAGUGCAGAGUUAGGCUAUGAUUACAGGCAGAUACAUGUAAAUCCAUAUAUCUCCAAGUUCAUUGCCAGCUGAUUAAUACAGUGCCGAAUCAGACUAUAAUUAUAGGCAAGUAGGGCGGGUGAUGUUUUAAGAAGACCAGGGCCGCACAGAUAUUUUCAUAUGUUUUUGGUUGUUGGAUGCAGAUCUGUGUCAGAUAAAAUUUGUUUUCUCUUUCCACCUCUAUUUUUUUUUUCUUUU